UACGGGGGGAGCAAGCGUUGUUCGGAUUUACUGGGCGUAAAGGGCGCGUAGGCGGUCAGCACAAGUCAGUUGUGAAAUCUCCGGGCUUAACUCGGAAAGGUCAACUGAUACUGUGCGACUAGAGUGCGGAAGGGGCAACUGGAAUUCUCGGUGUAGCGGUGAAAUACGUAGAUAUCGAGAGGAACACCUGCGGCGAAGGCGGGUUGCUGGGCCGACACUGACGCUGAGGCGCGAAAGCUAGGGGAGCGAACAGG
RNAcentral lists this ribosomal RNA (254 nucleotides) under uncultured bacterium. RNAcentral's name for it is "partial 16S ribosomal RNA". It matches the Rfam family "Bacterial small subunit ribosomal RNA", at positions 524 to 776 of the family's 1533-position model. The record is from RNAcentral.